UCCGGUUUGACACCGGCAGUCCCCUUAGAGUCCCCGGCAUAACCCGAUGGUAACUAAGGGCAAAGGUUUCGCUCGUUAAGGGACUUAACCCGACAUCUCACGACACGAGCUGACGACAGCCAUGCAGCACCUGUGCACGUUCCACCCCGAAGGGCGUACCCGACUUUCACCGGGAUAAUCCGUGCAUGUCAAGCCCAGGUAAGGUUCUGCGCGUUGCUUCGAAUUGAACCACAUGCUCCACCGCUUGUGUGAGCCCCCGUCAAUUCCUUUGAGUUUUAGCCUUGCGACCGUACUUCCCAGGCGGUCCACUUAGCACUUUGGCUUCGACCAUGAAACCGUCAGAGGUCCCACGAUCUAGUGGACAUCGUUUACGGCCAGGACUAC
Molecule: unclassified non-coding RNA, 384 nt
Filed under: uncultured Tepidisphaerales bacterium
Lineage: Bacteria; Pseudomonadati; Planctomycetota; Phycisphaerae; Tepidisphaerales
Description: contains 16S-23S intergenic spacer region
Source: RNAcentral